UGAUAGAAAUUUAAACACUUUUUAAAGUAUCAAUUGGAGGGCAAGUCUGGUGCCAGCAGCCGCGGUAAUUCCAGCUCCAAUAGCGUAUAUUAAAAUUGUUGCAGUUAAAAAGCUCGUAGUUAAAUUUCUGUUAAAAAUAACCGGUCUGCUUUUAUUAAAAGUGGUAUCUUGGUGUGUUUUUAGCAAUAAUGUCCUUUGAAAUGUUUUUUACUUUAUUGUAAUAAGUCAUUAUUUUGAGGAUUUUUACUUUGAGAAAAUUAGAGUGUUUCUAGCAGGCUUACACUUUUGAAUACUGCAGCAUGGAAUAAUAAGAUAGGAUUUUAGUUCUACAUUAUUGGUUUUAAGAACUAAAUUAAUGAUUGAUAGGGAUAGUUGGGGGCAUUUGUAUUUAACUGUCAGAGGUGAAAUUCUUAGAUUUGUUAAAGACAAACUAUUGCGAAAGCAUUUGCCAAAGAUGUUUUCAUUAAUCAAGAACGAAAGUUAGGGGAUCGAAG
This 494-nucleotide ribosomal RNA is filed under the name Hepatozoon americanum. RNAcentral describes it as "bacterial SSU rRNA". It matches the Rfam family "Eukaryotic small subunit ribosomal RNA", at positions 515 to 1003 of the family's 1831-position model. The record is from RNAcentral. Lineage: Eukaryota; Apicomplexa; Hepatozoidae.